This 95-nucleotide ribosomal RNA is filed under the name Vibrio parahaemolyticus. The record is from RNAcentral. Lineage: Bacteria; Pseudomonadati; Pseudomonadota; Gammaproteobacteria; Vibrionales; Vibrionaceae.
CUUGGCGACCAUAGCGUUUUGGACCCACCUGAUUCCAUUCCGAACUCAGAAGUGAAACGAAAUAGCGCCGAUGGUAGUGUGGGGCUUCCCCAUGU